This 323-nucleotide long non-coding RNA is filed under the name Nicotiana benthamiana. RNAcentral's name for it is "long non-coding RNA (NBEN_LNC017930)". Lineage: Eukaryota; Viridiplantae; Streptophyta; Magnoliopsida; Solanales; Solanaceae. The record is from RNAcentral.
ACAUUUGCUAAACGAUUCCUUUCAUUCAAAGGCACACCCAAUCUAUCAAAAUACCUAACAAGCUCAGGGUCAGCCUCAUCAAGACUAUUCAAAGUUGGCUUCUUUUUAGGUUCUGAAUUCUCAAAGUACCUAACAAGCUCAGGGUCAGCCUCAUCAAGACUAUUCAAAGUUGGUUUCUUUUUAGGUUCUGAAUAGUAAACAAUAUCUUGAAAAUUAAUUUCAGGGUACUUAUUAUCAGACCAUUUAGGCUCUUUCAUCUUAACAAAUUUCUCAAAAGAUUUCAACCUGUACUCAAGCAUCCAAUCAGGCUCAUUCUUUCUUGA